Molecule: small nucleolar RNA, 126 nt
Organism: Nannospalax galili (Upper Galilee mountains blind mole rat)
Lineage: Eukaryota; Metazoa; Chordata; Mammalia; Rodentia; Spalacidae
Product: small nucleolar RNA SNORA40
Exons: 1
Source: RefSeq, a predicted model, not a curated record
AGGACUUAGUGUAUUUGUUCAACUGGUGGACAAAGUCAGGAAGACAGGUACAAAAAUAAAUCCUAUUUUGAAAUCCAGAACUCAUUAUUCAGUAUGAAUUGUGAAAAGUAAUAUGAGAAGAGCAUA